Molecule: small nucleolar RNA, 73 nt
Organism: Spea bombifrons (plains spadefoot toad)
Lineage: Eukaryota; Metazoa; Chordata; Amphibia; Anura; Pelobatidae
Source: RefSeq, a predicted model, not a curated record
CUUCCAGUGAUGAUACCUUUGUCCAGUUCUGCUACUGAAUGGAAAGAGAUGAUCCUUUUUAAUACUGAGGAGG